AUUUCAGGGCUAGAGCGAUGGCUUGGUAGUUAGUGCUCACUGCUUUUACAGAGGACCUGGGUUCUGCUUCCAGUACCCACACGGAGCUAACAGCUACUGUAACUCUAGUUCUAGGGGAUCCAACACCCUGACCUCCAUGGACUCCUGAAUGCAUUUGGUAUACAUACAUGUACUCAGGUACACACACAUACACAUAAAAUAUUUUAAUAACAUAAAAGAAACUAUCUCCAUGAGCUGAGCUGUACUUUGGUAAUGUGUAGCCUUAUCUAAGGAUGGUUAAUGUAUUAACAAAGUUAAGGGAAACACAAAGAUACCAUUCAGAUAUAACUGUGCUCCUACAGGAAUAAACUAGAAGGCAUCUGUAAGCCCUGUGUCCUCUCUCAAACCAUAGUUCUUCAGUUUAAUUUGCUAUCAAGUUCUGUUCAAGUCAGUCAUGGAAUUUAGGACAACUAUGUUUCAUAACCUGACAUAGUUAUGUUUGAACAUUAUUUCUUCUGAUAUUUUGAACUUCUCAUCACCAGAGAGUUGUGAUUGUUGUGCAGAUUGUUGAUGUCGAUUGUGGAUAGCCAGAGGUUAGGGUAGUGUCAGAAAGAAUCACUGACAUUGAUGCUCAUCAGAUGAUCCUGCUGGUCCAGUUGUGCCCCUGAUGGCAGAGUUGAGGCUGGACAGUGUCGAGGAUGGCUUUAUCCAGCUGGGGUCAGGUCAGAGUCUUACCUUGGGCAGUAUCAUAGCAAAGCAGCAAUUUGAGCUUUCACUUUACUUACUGAGGAAGAAUAGAUAAAAUGUGAGAGUGAGAGGUGAAGCUCUUCAGUCUAGAAAAGCAAGGCAAGGACAGAUCAACUUGUGAACUCUGAGAAGUCAUGGAAACCUAGGGAACUGCAAACAGAAACAAAUGUAGGCUUGACUUUGUGUUAAAAUGCUAUUUACAUUUUUACCUUUGUAAAAGAUUAUAGACUAUGGCAUCUUUUGUUGUUUUUUGUGGUUCCUUUUAAGGGUUAUUUUUCCAUUUGCUUUUUUUUGUUGUUGUUUGCUUAAUAGUUUGCAGAAUUGAAGGUUUUGUGUGUGCUUAACCAGACACUCUACUAUGGAACCACUGAACUCUAUAUCCCCAGCCUUCAUUUUGUUUUAAACUUACUAAUUUACAGUACUUUGGAGCAGUAGAAAUUGCAAACAGGGUUACCUCAAAAUUAAAGUGUCUUAUGAAUGAGGUAGUGUCAUGCACAUGUCCUGGUUUGUAUAUAAGAGUCAGCAUCACCUAUGCCAACUCUCCAUUACUUCCACUAUUGUCCAGACUCCAAGCCAAUAAUAUGCACAAGUCAGAUAGGUUGUGAAGCAAGUAUAUUGUACUGUGGCCUCUCAUUUUUAUGCAGAUGUCCUCUUGGAGUAGACAUAUCCAAAGAAGUCGCAGAAGCUGCCAUAAAAGUACCACAAUUAAAAAUACAAUUUGAUUGUGAUUCUUAAAGCUCUCUACAGCUCUCAAGCGUGCAUAACUCCAGUUCCAGUGGAUCCAGCAUCCUUUUCUGAACUCAGAUGUGGCAGCAUGCACAGGGCCUCCACAGGUUCAAGCCAUAUGGGUCCCAGUACUGAGAGGGGAAGUGGAAAUGAGCUCACAUCCCUAACCAAGAAGCUAUCUCCAACUGAUAAUCCACUUGCAAAGGAAAAAUUAGUUUUCUCCAAUGGCAUCUAACUGGUUGUAUUAUCCACACUUGAGGAUAGGCUCCAUGCCCAGCAAUAGAUGGACAACACAAAAUAAACUCAAUGGUAUUUUUGUAGA
Molecule: non-coding RNA, 1774 nt
Organism: Cricetulus griseus (Chinese hamster)
Lineage: Eukaryota; Metazoa; Chordata; Mammalia; Rodentia; Cricetidae
Source: RefSeq, a predicted model, not a curated record